GGCGGAUGUAGCCAAGUGGAUCAAGGCAGUGGAUUGGAACCCCCCCCUGGGGGGGGAAAAUAU
Molecule: transfer RNA, 63 nt
Filed under: Polygonatum hunanense
Lineage: Eukaryota; Viridiplantae; Streptophyta; Magnoliopsida; Asparagales; Asparagaceae
Description: partial tRNA-His
Source: RNAcentral